This 292-nucleotide ribosomal RNA is filed under the name uncultured Verrucomicrobiota bacterium. RNAcentral's name for it is "uncultured Verrucomicrobia bacterium partial 16S ribosomal RNA". Lineage: Bacteria; Pseudomonadati; Verrucomicrobiota. The record is from RNAcentral.
GGACUACCGGGGUAUCUAAUCCCGUUUGCUCCCCUGGCCUUCGUGCCUCAGUGUCAGGAACUGUCCAGAGACCCGCCUUCGCCACUGGUCUUCCUUACGAUCUCUACGCAUUUCACUGCUACACCGUAAAUUCCAGUCUCCUCUCCAGUCCUCAAGCACUGCAGUAUGGAAUGCAGUCCCGGGGUUAAGCCCCGGGAUUUCACACCCCACUUACAGCGCCACCUACGCACCCUUUACGCCCAAUGAAUCCGAACAACGCUCGGGACCUCUGUAUUACCGCGGCUGCUGGCAC